UUUUUUGCGGGUGAAGAUGUAAAUACGUAUCUACUCACUCAAAGACCCGGACUAACCGCUUCACAAUUUAGUAUCGGAGCUAAAAAUUGAACUAUCUUAUUCAGAAGGUCAAGGCGAGAUAGUCCACUCAAGUACUGUUACUGUGUUUUGUUAAAAUCGACGCAAGAUACACUUCGUUUCUGGUUUUUGUUGCUUCAAUGGCAAUCCAAUACCUUUCGGCAUCAGGUUUUCCGGUCAAGUUCAAUGCGUUGAAGGCGAAAACAUGCAGCCUUUUCAACUGUACAAAAUAAACUAAACACUCAAAUCGAAAUUCGUGUGAACACACGCCAGAAACAUCAAGAUAAAGGAAAGGGCAAUUACAAUUUGAACAAAAAUAUUUCAAAAUAUAGCAAUUAGUUGGAUAAUAAUCAAAAAUGAUCCAGAAAAAUCUGAAAUUCAAGGAUCCAUUAAAUUGUUGUUCCAAAAGUUAAUGAACUACGGAAAAACUUUGUUUUGGAAAUGUAAA
Hermetia illucens (black soldier fly) is the source of this 505-nucleotide long non-coding RNA. RefSeq lists it as uncharacterized. The record is from RefSeq and is a predicted model, not a curated record. NCBI's taxonomy places the organism in Eukaryota, Metazoa, Arthropoda, Insecta, Diptera, Stratiomyidae. The transcript is spliced from 3 exons.